AAUGUAAACACUACAGCUAACAAUUCCAAAUCAUGGAUCGGAUAAUUCUUCUCAUGAACUUUCAACUGCCUAAAAGCAUAGGCAACCACCUUGCUAUGCUACAUCAACACACAACCCAGCCGUACAUGAGACACAUCGCAAUAGACAACUAAACCAUCAGUGCCCUCAGGUAGAGUCAAAACCAAAGACGAAGUCAACUUAUUCUUUAGCUAUUC
This 215-nucleotide long non-coding RNA is filed under the name Capsicum annuum. Its description in RNAcentral is "long non-coding RNA (CANN_LNC007087)". Lineage: Eukaryota; Viridiplantae; Streptophyta; Magnoliopsida; Solanales; Solanaceae. The record is from RNAcentral.